This 775-nucleotide unclassified non-coding RNA is filed under the name Hevea brasiliensis (rubber tree). Lineage: Eukaryota; Viridiplantae; Streptophyta; Magnoliopsida; Malpighiales; Euphorbiaceae. The record is from RNAcentral.
AGAUUCUCUUUGCCGUCUUUAUCUCAAUUAUCGGGCUUAUCUUGUUUUCCUUGCUUAUUGGCAAUAUGCAGAAAUAUUUGCAAUCUAUCACGGUUAGAGUAGAAGAGAUGAGAGUGAGAAGGCGGGAUGCAGAACAGUGGAUGUCUCAUCGCAUGCUUCCUGACAUUCUGAAAGAGCGAAUUAGGCGACAUGAACAGUACAAAUGGCAAGAAACCAGGGGAGUUGAGGAAGAUUUACUGCUUCAAGAUCUUCCUAGAGACUUGAGGAGAGAUUUAAAGCGCCAUCUCUGUUGGUCUUUUCUCAAAAAAGUUCCCAUAUUUGAGAAAAUGGAUGACCAAUUACUGGACGCGUUGUGUGACAGACUGAAACCAGCACUCUUCACAGAUAAGAGCUUCAUAAUCCGAGAAGGAGAUCCAGUAGAAGAAAUGCUCUUUCUAAUGAGAGGUACACUGUUAACUAUGACCACAAAUGGUGGAAGGACUGGUUUUUUCAACUCUGUUUAUCUCAAGGCUGGUGGCUUCUGUGGAGAUGAGCUUUUAACAUGGGCUUUAGACCCCAAUACUUCUUCCGGUAGUCUUCCACUUUCAACCAGAACAGUACAGGCUGUAACUGAUAUAGAAGCUUUUGCCGUCACUGCUGAUGACCUCAAGUUUGUUGCUGCACAGUUUAGACGUCUAAAUAGCAAGCAGAUUCAGCAUACUUUCAAGUUCUGCUCACAGCAGUGGAGGACAUGGGGUGCAUGCUUUAUACAAGUAGCAUGGCGUCGAUACUGCAG